RNAcentral lists this ribosomal RNA (497 nucleotides) under uncultured bacterium. RNAcentral describes it as "partial 16S ribosomal RNA". It matches the Rfam family "Bacterial small subunit ribosomal RNA", at positions 29 to 507 of the family's 1533-position model. The record is from RNAcentral.
AACGAACGCUGGCGGCAUGCCUAACACAUGCAAGUCGAGCGAACAGACGAGGAGCUUGCUCCUCUGACGUUAGCGGCGGACGGGUGAGUAACACGUGGAUAACCUACCUAUAAGACUGGGAUAACUUCGGGAAACCGGAGCUAAUACCGGAUAAUAUAUUGAACCGCAUGGUUCAAUAGUGAAAGACGGUUUUGCUGUCACUUAUAGAUGGAUCCGCGCCGCAUUAGCUAGUUGGUAAGGUAACGGCUUACCAAGGCAACGAUGCGUAGCCGACCUGAGAGGGUGAUCGGCCACACUGGAACUGAGACACGGUCCAGACUCCUACGGGAGGCAGCAGUAGGGAAUCUUCCGCAAUGGGCGAAAGCCUGACGGAGCAACGCCGCGUGAGUGAUGAAGGUCUUCGGAUCGUAAAACUCUGUUAUUAGGGAAGAACAAAUGUGUAAGUAACUAUGCACGUCUUGACGGUACCUAAUCAGAAAGCCACGGCUAACUACGUG